This 643-nucleotide long non-coding RNA is filed under the name Homo sapiens (human). RNAcentral's name for it is "HSALNT0376589". Lineage: Eukaryota; Metazoa; Chordata; Mammalia; Primates; Hominidae. The record is from RNAcentral.
UGACUGAUGAGUCCAUGGAAGAGAGGGCCAAGAAAGAAGGAUCCACAGAAGAAUGAGGCCAUCCAAGGAACUGAGCGAGGGAUGACUGCCUGUGCCCAGGGAGGAGUGAAUAAAUGUUAAAAUGAGCUUCACAAAGAUUAAUUUAUUUUUAAUGAGACUUGAAGAGUGCUAAUAGAUUCUAAUCCCUGAACAAAAGGAAAGUUCAAGCCAGCAAAAUGGACAAAAUCAGCAGUAUUGAAAUUGAAAUGGCGACAGAUCGAAGCCUGAGCGAGAAGAAUAGAGCAAGAAGACAGAGCAAACAGUACAAGGUCCCAGAAAUAAUAGGAAGUGAUAGGAACAGAUUUUUAAAUGGAUGGUUUACCUUUAUUAGGAGAAUGUUCAAGACACGAAGGAAAGAAGAAAGGAUAAAACAGAGGCAUACAUGUUCAUAAUAAAAGAGACAAGAAUUGAAAGGACUUUCUCUCUGAUAACUUCUACUUUCUCUGUAAAGAACAGAACACAUCAAGUCCAGUCACCUGGAAGAGGGGAGACCACAUUGAGCAGCGCUGAAUCGUUCAAUCUGAGUGCACCUAGAGCAUGCAGCCUCCAGCUGACUAGGGAGUUAGUUGAUUUAGACACAUGAAACAAGCCCAGACAAGAUCAG